This 255-nucleotide ribosomal RNA is filed under the name uncultured Delftia sp. RNAcentral describes it as "partial 16S ribosomal RNA". It matches the Rfam family "Bacterial small subunit ribosomal RNA", at positions 99 to 355 of the family's 1533-position model. The record is from RNAcentral. Lineage: Bacteria; Pseudomonadati; Pseudomonadota; Betaproteobacteria; Burkholderiales; Comamonadaceae.
CGAACGGGUGAGUAAUACAUCGGAACGUGCCCAGUCGUGGGGGAGUAACUACUCGAAAGAGUAGCUAAUACCGCAUACGAUCUGAGGAUGAAAGCGGGGGACCUUCGGGCCUCGCGCGAUUGGAGCGGCCGAUGGCAGAUUAGGUAGUUGGUGGGAUAAAAGCUUACCAAGCCGACGAUCUGUAGCUGGUCUGAGAGGACGACCAGCCACACUGGGACUGAGACACGGCCCAGACUCCUACGGGAGGCAGCAGCC